This is a long non-coding RNA of Polyodon spathula (Mississippi paddlefish), 557 nucleotides long. RefSeq lists it as uncharacterized. The transcript has 3 exons. The record is from RefSeq and is a predicted model, not a curated record. Lineage: Eukaryota; Metazoa; Chordata; Actinopteri; Acipenseriformes; Polyodontidae.
UUUCAGUCGUUUCUUUGAAUUGCAACCUGCAGACUCGCUGUCUCUGACUCGCUGUUAUACUGUUAUGAAAAAUGUAUCACAUUAGAAAAUAGCAGGAUCGAUUUCCGUCAAAUCUAGAUGGAUUGACCUCAUUUCCGAGAAUAAUUUUAAACAAACCGAGGAUUUUCUUACACAUUUUGACACUCAGGCGCUGUGGUGAGCAUGGUUUAGACUUGGAACAGAGUUUACAGUUCGAGACCAUGGGCAAAGAGGCGUGGGUUUCUUUUUCGCUGUAACAACGAUAUUAAAGGAAGACAUCGCAUAACACCCUGGUAUGCCACUUCUGUAAAAGGAACCAUACCACAAGUUGUUGUUUUUAAGAGGGAUGCCCGUGGCUCAAAUUAACGAAGAUUUUCCUGGAGUUGUGGAAGAAGCUCAGGAAUAUGGGCGCUAAUCACUCCCACAAAACUCCAGUAUUUGAUGAAAAUGAAGAGGUUACCUUUGAUCACUUUCAAAUACUCAGAGCCAUUGGAAAAGGGAGUUUUGGGAAGGUAUGCAUUGUGCAGAAGAGAGACACC